GGAGUCUGGGCCGUGUCUCAGUCCCAAUGUGGCCGUCCGCCCUCUCAGGCCGGCUACUGAUCGUUGCUUUGGUGGGCCGUUGCCCCGCCAACUGGCUAAUCAGACGCGGAUCCAUCUUGAACCGAUAAAUCUUUUCACACUGUAUGAUGCCAUACCGUGCGCUUAUGCGGUAUUACCAGUCGUUUCCAACUGCUAUCCCCCAGUUCAAGGCAGGUUAUCCACGCGUUACUCACCCGUCCGCCACUAAGUUGAAAAAAAUCCGUCCGAAAACUUUAUCUUAUCAACUCCGUUCGACUUGCAUGUGUUAGGCACGCCGCCAGCGUUCAUC
RNAcentral lists this ribosomal RNA (328 nucleotides) under uncultured Butyrivibrio sp. Its description in RNAcentral is "partial 16S ribosomal RNA". The record is from RNAcentral. Lineage: Bacteria; Bacillati; Bacillota; Clostridia; Lachnospirales; Lachnospiraceae.